UACAGAGACCUCAAACGUUAUCCGGAAUCAUUGGGCGUAAAGCGUACCGAUAGGUGGUCUAACAAGUCAGAAGUGAAAUCUCCGAGCUCAACUCGGAAUCUGUCUUUUGAAACUGUUAGACUAGAGGGGCAAAGAGGAAGCUGGAACGAACGGUGUAGUAGUGAAAUGCGUUGAUAUCGUUCGGAACACCAAUAGCGAAGGCGGGCUUCUGGGUGCCACCUGACACUGCUAGGACGAAAGCGUGGGGAGCGAAUGGG
Molecule: ribosomal RNA, 257 nt
Filed under: uncultured bacterium
Lineage: Bacteria
Description: partial 16S ribosomal RNA
Rfam family: Bacterial small subunit ribosomal RNA
Source: RNAcentral